UACGUAGGUGGCAAGCGUUGUCCGGAUUUACUGGGCGUAAAGCGCGCGCAGGCGGUUCUUCAAGUCAGAGGUGAAAGCCCAGAGCUCAACUCUGGAAUGGCCUUUUGAGACUAGAGAACUAGGGUACGGGAGAGGUGAGUGGAAUUCCGAGUGUAGAGGUGAAAAUGCGCAGAUAUCGGGGAGGAACACCUAUGGCGAAGGCAGCUCGCUGGGACGUUACUGACGCUGAGACGCGAAAAGCGUGGGGGAGCAAACAGG
This 258-nucleotide ribosomal RNA is filed under the name uncultured bacterium. Its description in RNAcentral is "partial 16S ribosomal RNA". It matches the Rfam family "Bacterial small subunit ribosomal RNA", at positions 524 to 776 of the family's 1533-position model. The record is from RNAcentral.